GCAGGUACAGCUCAGUGGUAGAGCACGUGCUUAGCAUGCACAAGGUCCUGGGUUCAAUCCCCAGGACCCCCA
This 72-nucleotide transfer RNA is filed under the name Camelus bactrianus (Bactrian camel). It matches the Rfam family "tRNA". Rfam says of the family: Transfer RNA (tRNA) molecules are approximately 80 nucleotides in length. RNAcentral also lists the same sequence under 2 other names. The record is from Rfam by way of RNAcentral. Lineage: Eukaryota; Metazoa; Chordata; Mammalia; Artiodactyla; Camelidae.